UACGGGGGGAGCAAGCGUUGUUCGGAUUUACUGGGCGUAAAGGGCGCGUAGGCGGCCACCGCAAGUCGACUGUGAAAUCUCCGGGCUUAACCCGGAAAGGUCAGCCGAUACUGCGGGGCUAGAGUGCAGAAGGGGCAACUGGAAUUCUCGGUGUAGCGGUGAAAUGCGUAGAUAUCGAGAGGAACACCUGCGGCGAAGGCGGGUUGCUGGGCUGACACUGACGCUGAGACGCGAAAGCUAGGGGAGCAAACGGG
RNAcentral lists this ribosomal RNA (254 nucleotides) under uncultured bacterium. RNAcentral's name for it is "partial 16S ribosomal RNA". It matches the Rfam family "Bacterial small subunit ribosomal RNA", at positions 524 to 776 of the family's 1533-position model. The record is from RNAcentral.